Globicephala melas (long-finned pilot whale) is the source of this 5155-nucleotide RNA transcript. It is a transcript of the gene named glycerophosphodiester phosphodiesterase 1, with no coding region annotated. The record is from RefSeq and is a predicted model, not a curated record. NCBI's taxonomy places the organism in Eukaryota, Metazoa, Chordata, Mammalia, Artiodactyla, Delphinidae.
GGAAGUAGUCGCUGCCGCCAUUGUGCGGCGCUCGUCCAGUCGAAGGGUGUCAGCUGCGGUCAGCGCUUUGGGCUGUCGUCGUAGUUUUUUGGUUUCCUAUCCGCGGAGCCCGGCGAGACUGGGACUCCCGUCCGUGCCGGUGCGGGCGCCGGCAUGUGGCUAUGGGAGGAACAGGGGGGCCUCAUGGGCCCCUUCUCCUUCCUGAUGAUGCUGCUGCUGCUGGUGACGCGCAGUCCCUUCAAUGCUUGCCUCUUCACCGGCAGCCUCUACCUUCUGCUGCGGCUCUUCAGCUUUGAGCCGGUGCCCUCCCGCAGGGCCAUGCAGGUGCUCAAGCCCCGGGACCGCGUCUCCGUCAUCGCCCACCGCGGCGGCGGCCACGACGCACCCGAGAACACGCUGGCGGCCAUUCGGCAGGCAGCUAAGAAUGGAGCAACAGGCGUGGAGUUGGACCUUGAGUUUACUUCUGAUGGGAUUCCUGUCUUAAUGCACGAUAGCACAGUAGAUAGGACAACUGACGGCACCGGUCGAUUGUGUGAUUUGACAUUUGAACAAAUUAGGAAGCUUAAUCCUGCAGCAAAUCACAGGUUAAGGAGUGAUUUCCCUGAUGAAAAGAUUCCUACCCUGAGAGAAGCUGUUGCAGAGUGCCUAAACCGUAACCUCACAAUCUUCUUUGAUGUCAAAGGCUAUGCAAAUAUGGCUACUGAUGCUCUAAAGAAAAUAUAUAUGGAGUUUCCUCAACUAUACAAUAAUAGUAUUGUCUGCUCUUUCUUGCCAGAAGUUAUCUAUAAGAUGAGACAAGCAGAUCAGAAUGUAGUAACAGCUUUAAUUCACAGACCUUGGAGCCUUAGCCAUACAGGAGAUGGGAAACCACGCUUUGCUGCUUUCUGGAAACAGUCCAUGUUUGUGGCAUUGGACAUUUUGCUCGAUUGGAGUAUGCAUAAUAUCUUGUGGUACUUGUGUGGAAUUUCAGCUUUCCUCAUACAAAAGGAUUUUGUAUCUCCGGACUACUUGAAGAAGUGGUCAGCUAAAGGCAUUCAGGUUGUUGCUUGGACUGUUAAUACUUUUGAUGAAAAAAGUUACUAUGAAUCCCAUCUUGGUUCCAGCUAUAUCACCGACAGCAUGUUGGAAGACUGCACACCUCACUUCUAGACUUUUCCCCCGGGGAGGAAACACAGGUACAGAAACUGCCUGCUGGCCUCAUGGAGGAAUAUCAAUAUACCCAAGCCCUUGCGGGAUCAGGUGGCUCCCACAAGCAGUAGUCGGUAACUGGGUAUUUACCUGAACCAAAGCAAAACCCAGUGUUGCUACCAUGCUCCAUGAAAUGCCUGAGUUCAAAACCGAUGCUCUUGAAAGUCUGGGUCUGCAAAAAGGCACAACACUCUUGCCCCAGCCUAGCUGAGACACGCGCUGAAGCCCAAUGAAGAUAAGCACAGAAUGAAUUGUGCAAUUUGGGGGUGCAGAUGCAAAUGCAUGGGAAAUGCAUGAUCACUCAGAGUUGACGUUUUAAAACUUGACACACUUACAUAACUUUACUUAUUUAAAAUAUUUGUAUCCAGCUAUGUUACAAUGUACUGUAGACAUCAAACUUGUGACCAUACUAAUAAGAUCAUUAAAAGGAGCACUAAGGGAAAACCAUGUACCAAGCGUCAUAUCCUAAGACGUAAGGAAUUUAAGGGAGCUGCUGUUUCCAAUCCAGUGGCCAGGGCCCCUGGUGAGACAUUGGUGUGAAGCAAAGAAAAUGAUGAGGAAAUUUGGACACAAAGGUACGCCAGGAUGUGUGCACCGAGGAAAGACCAUGUGAGGACACAGCGAGAAGGUGGCCAUCUACAGGCCAAGGAGAGAGGCCUCAGAAUGAAACCAAAACUGUGGACACCGACUGUGGACACCUUGAUCUUAGACUUCCCACCUCUGGAACUGUGAAAAAAAUGAAUUUGUGUUGUUUAAGCCUCCAGUCUGUGCUAUGGGUUAUGGCAGCUCUAGCAAACUAAUAUAUCCCCUAUAUCUUAAGACUAAGGAUGUGAGGAUGUUACACACAUCCAAAUGUGUGUGUGAGACCUACAGACUAGAUCUUUCUACUGUGUCUGCUCCUCCAGGAGAAGCAGGGGCUACACUGAAGUAAAGAUAAGAGGUGAAUGGAGAAGCAGUCCGGAUAUAAGCCCUGAGCAUAUGGGAAGUGAGCAAAAAUGAUACUUCCAGAGGGAGUUCACAUUUCAAUGCAGAAGCACAGAUAGCAUUAGGAUAACACAGAGGGGGAAAAAAUCCCAUCAAACAUCAAUUCCACAGACUGCCUUCACUGACCCCACAGACAAGUUAAGUCUCCCGUCGUCCCUUGGGCUUCUCCUUCAUGGCACCUGCUAUAAGUAAUUACUGUUUAAUUAUUAAGUUCCUGCCAAAAGUGAUGUGCUAGACAGUAUAUGAGAGUGGAGGCUGUGUCUUGACUUGUGCACCAUCUUGUUCCCCACCACGUGGUACAUAUUUGUUGAAUGAAGGGAUGAACGAAGAAGCACUUCUAGCAACCACUAGCAAAGAUGGUACCAAAAGAACUGAAUUCAGCUGAUGAAUGAUUUAGUGAGCAAAUAAGUCAAUGAAGAAGUGAACCAAUGACUGAGCACUGACUGGAUGUUUGUGUUUUAAAUUCGUCUUAAAUGUUUUCUAAAUUCAGUUCCCAUUAGAUUUCAUGACAGUGAUUACCCAAGAGGAGAUUUCUCCUCCCGAGUAAUUUGGUAAUGGCAGUUUUCUGCUGGACUCUUCCGUUUUAAGUAGAGUCAGGUGCCUUGUGAGUCAUUUAGGAAAUUGCAAAAAAAUGCUUUAUACAUGUAUGUGUGCAUAUGUACACACACACACAUAUACAUACACAUACAUAUUCAAUAUAUAUAUUCCACACAUCACCACCGAUUUCAUGUUUGGUUCAACGUAAGACUCUGAUGAUCAUGUAUAAAACCUCACAGGGGUAGAGUCCCAGUCCACACAUGCCCACCCCAGUCCAAUCCAAAAGACUCAUGUACUCAAUGUGCAGUAAAGUUCAUAGACGAGCCCUCUGGUUGUUUCUCACCUUUGGGAAAAAUGGGGAUGUUUUCAGUGCAAAGUCAUGAACAAAUGCACGUUCCAAAAUUCAGAGGCUUCACAUCCCUGAUCGAGGGUCACAUUUUUAUUCAGACUGGACCAUUUGUCUUAGCACCAGUCUCCAAACCUUUGCCAGGUCUGGGAGUUCUGGGAGCGGCGAUUUCUAAGGAUCAAUCAUUCAUAUGCGUCUCUCUUAAACUACAACUCUUCCCAGGUUUUUGUGAACUAGUUCAAAUAUUACAACAAUCUUUACUGGAAAAUCUCAAAUAUUUUGUCUGGAAAAAUCAGCAAUUCAGGUGUAAAAACAACAGCAGGGAGUGCCCAAUUUUACUUCUGUAUUUACAUUGUAGUCAGUUUCCACUCCUGGCUACAGGCUUGAAUUUCCCAUCUGGGAAUCUCCUAAAGGCCCAGGCGUCAUGGAGGAAGCUGCUCCAUCUUCAUCUUCUCUCCUUAUUUGGUUGGUGUCUGGGUACCACAAUAAUUAUCAGGCCUUUGGAUUAUCUUCUUGAACCGAUCGCCUAAAUCGCAGGUCUGGGUUUGAUACAGGAGAAGAGAAGUUAGCACAGAGGCACACUGCCCCAUAUCUCCAAGGGAAAAACCAAAUUAGCUUUCGAGAUCCCGCAGCUUCUCAGGCCUUCCUUGCCUCCUCCUUUUAAGUUUCUUCAAUUCUCUCCCUUGAACUCCCAUCAUUGGAUGCUGUCAGUGAAUGCUAUUCCAAAAAGAUGAAUGGGUUUAUUUGUUUGUUUCCUCCCCAACAUUCAUUCCCCUCCUGGCAUCAGCCACAUGUUUUCUUUGGAAAGCCACCCUUCUCCACUCUCUCAGUCCCUGUGGUCUGUAUGUUUGUACCACCUGUAUCUAGAGAUGAGGUCUGCGACUCAGAUCUGGCCAAUGAAAUCAUCACAGUCUCUUGGCCACAGCAAUUGUUUCAGAUCCAAUGAAACACAAUGAGAAUCUGGAUCUCUUUCACACUAGACUUGAAUCUGAGAAGAUACAAGAAGCUAAGAAAGCUGUCUUGUAAUUAUCAGGAGAUAACGUGGAAAAGAACUGAACAGAAAGAAACCAGGUUCUGCCAACAUACUGUGAGACCCUGCUUCUGGCCACACCUAAAGCAAGAAUUAUUGUUGAGUUUUGGCUAAAGCCAAUUUGGGCCAGUUCUUGCAAUUGAAUGAGUGACCGAUACAGGAGCAGUUCUGACCCUCUGUCUUGGGACCUAUCAUCUGGAUGAAUUAGGCCUUACUCAGUGCCAGUCAGGUACUCACCUCGAGCAGCAUCAUGCUCUCUGACACGCAGAGGACCAGAUUGCUAAAAAAGAAGAAGACAAGAAAUCUCAUCACUGGAAGAGAGUGUACACCUCAGAUCCUGCUGCAUCAGUGGUGAGACUUGUGAGACCUCACCAUUUUAAUAUUAACAGGUGACAGAUUAAGACCAAGAUUCAGCCAUAGAAAUAUCAAACAUGUUUCCAUUUUUAUGGGCAGUGAUUCCAUUCAUUUAAUCAUUCAUUUCACAGAUAUUUACUGAGCAUUUACAAUGUAUACCAGGUAAUAUAUUAGGACCUGCAAAGGUACACUCAUAAUCCUUGCCUUCAAAGGUGGGCCUCUAGAUCCCUUACCUAUGUUGUGCUGAUGGUAUUCAUUUGAACAGGCAGUAAACGACAUGGCAGUCUCUUCUGACAAGAUCAUAACUUCUAAAACUAGUAGCAUUUGAAUUAACGUGGGUUUACUGUUUAUCCACAUUUUCUAGGACACCAAGGAAGCCAGCACAGGCUUUGGUAUUAGAGCAGGAUUCCAGGCAUCUCUUGUUAAGAAUGAAAUGGGUAAAAAUCUUUUUAAGAGCGUGAUAUGGCAAUAUCUGUUAACAUUAUCAUGUGCAUGCCUGUGGCAGAUAAAACACUCACAUAAAACAAUUAUAAUAAAAAAUGUUUCAUUACACAUCGCUUUUAGUAUUAAAAAAAAAACAAACUGUAAACAACCCAAAUGUCCAAGUAGGUACAGACUGAAACAGUGUCUGAGAUACAGUAUUAGGCGGGGAGAGGGGGAGCGUUGUGUAAAAUGUAACCCCUUUUUUGUAAUAAAUAAACAGGAAUGUUAGUAGA